AGCACGGCCCUUACGUCCGGGGCGACACACGUGUUACAAUGGUAGGUACAGAGGGCAGCUACCCAGUGAUGGGGUGCGAAUCUCAAAAACCUAUCUCAGUUCGGAUUGGAGUCUGCAACUCGACUCCAUGAAGUUGGAUUCGCUAGUAAUCGCGCAUCAGCCAUGGCGCGGUGAAUACGUUCCCGGGCCUU
RNAcentral lists this ribosomal RNA (191 nucleotides) under uncultured Rikenellaceae bacterium. RNAcentral describes it as "partial 16S ribosomal RNA". It matches the Rfam family "Bacterial small subunit ribosomal RNA", at positions 1192 to 1382 of the family's 1533-position model. The record is from RNAcentral. Lineage: Bacteria; Pseudomonadati; Bacteroidota; Bacteroidia; Bacteroidales; Rikenellaceae.